RNAcentral lists this ribosomal RNA (424 nucleotides) under uncultured prokaryote. Its description in RNAcentral is "bacterial SSU rRNA". It matches the Rfam family "Bacterial small subunit ribosomal RNA", at positions 355 to 796 of the family's 1533-position model. The record is from RNAcentral.
UGGGGAAUAUUGGACAAUGGGCGCAAGCCUGAUCCAGCCAUGCCGCGUGAGUGAUGAAGGCCCUAGGGUUGUAAAGCUCUUUUACCCGCGAAGAUAAUGACGGUAGCGGGAGAAUAAGCUCCGGCUAACUCCGUGCCAGCAGCCGCGGUAAUACGGAGGGAGCUAGCGUUGUUCGGAAUUACUGGGCGUAAAGCGCGCGUAGGCGGCCAUUCAAGUCAGAGGUGAAAGCCCGGGGCUCAACUCCGGAACUGCCUUUGAAACUAGAUGGCUAGAAUCCAGGAGAGGUGAGUGGAAUUCCGAGUGUAGAGGUGAAAUUCGUAGAUAUUCGGAAGAACACCAGUGGCGAAGGCGACUCACUGGACUGGUAUUGACGCUGAGGUGCGAAAGCGUGGGGAGCAAACAGGAUUAGAUACCCCCGUAGUCC